AUUGACGAUGGAUCACCAGUGAGUGGCGGACGGGUGAGUAACACGUAGGUAACCUGCCCCGGAGCGGGGGAUAACAUUUGGAAGCAGAUGCUAAUACCGCAUAACAACAAAAGCCACAUGGCUUUUGUUUGAAAGAUGGCUUUGGCUAUCACUCUGGGAUGGACCUGCGGUGCAUUAGCUAGUUGGUAAGGUAACGGCUUACCAAGGCGAUGAUGCAUAGCCGAGUUGAGAGACUGAUCGGCCACAAUGGAACUGAGACACGGUCCAUACUCCUACGGGUGGCAGCAGUAGGGAAUCUUCCACAAUGGGCGCAAGCCUGAUGGAGCAACACCGCGUGAGUGAAGAAGGGUUUCGGCUCGUAAAGCUCUGUUGUUGGAGAAGAACGUGCGUGAGAGUAACUGUUCACGCAGUGACGGUAUCCAACCAGAAAGUCACGGCUAACUACGUGCCAGCAGCCGCGGUAAUACGUAGGUGGCAAGCGUUAUCCGGAUUUAUUGGGCGUAAAGCGAGCGCAGGCGGUUGCUUAGGUCUGAUGUGAAAGCCUUCGGCUUAACCGAAGAAGUGCAUCGGAAACCGGGCGACUUGAGUGCAGAGGAGGACAGUGGAACUCCAUGUGUAGCGGUGGAAUGCGUAGAUAUAUGGAAGAACACCAGUGGCGAAGGCGGCUGUCUGGUCUGCAACUGACGCUGAGGCUCGAAAGCAUGGGUAGCGAACAGGAUUAGAUACCCUGGUAGUCCAUGCCGUAAACGAUGAGUGCUAGGUGUUGGAGGGUUUCCGCCCUUCAGUGCCGGAGCUAACGCAUUAAGCACUCCGCCCUGGGGGAGUACGACCGCAAGGUUGAAACUC
Molecule: ribosomal RNA, 846 nt
Filed under: uncultured bacterium
Lineage: Bacteria
Description: bacterial SSU rRNA
Rfam family: Bacterial small subunit ribosomal RNA
Source: RNAcentral